UACGUAGGGUGCGAGCGUUAAUCGGAAUUACUGGGCGUAAAGCGUGCGCAGGCGGUUUUGUAAGCCAGAUGUGAAAGCCCCGGGCUUAACCUGGGAAUGGCAUUUGGGACUGCAAGGCUUGAGUGCGGCAGAGGAGACUGGAAUUCCUGGUGUAGCAGUGAAAUGCGUAGAGAUGUGGAGGAACACCGAUGGCGAAGGCAGCCCCCUGGGCCGACACUGACGCUCAGGCACGAAAGCGUGGGGAGCAAACAGG
Molecule: ribosomal RNA, 253 nt
Filed under: uncultured bacterium
Lineage: Bacteria
Description: partial 16S ribosomal RNA
Rfam family: Bacterial small subunit ribosomal RNA
Source: RNAcentral